RNAcentral lists this ribosomal RNA (425 nucleotides) under uncultured cyanobacterium. RNAcentral's name for it is "bacterial SSU rRNA". It matches the Rfam family "Bacterial small subunit ribosomal RNA", at positions 356 to 795 of the family's 1533-position model. Lineage: Bacteria; Bacillati; Cyanobacteriota. The record is from RNAcentral.
GGGGAAUUUUCCGCAAUGGGGGCAACCCUGACGGAGCAAUACCGCGUGGGGGAGGAAGGCCCUUGGGUUGUAAACCCCUUUUCUCAGGGAAGAAUAACUGACGGUACCUGAGGNNUCAGCCUCGGCUAACUCCGUGCCAGCAGCCGCGGUAAGACGGAGGAGGCAAGCGUUAUCCGGAAUCAUUGGGCGUAAAGCGUCCGUAGGUGGUCCUUCAAGUCUGCUGUCAAAGCCCAGGGCUCAACCCUGGAGAGGCAGUGGAAACUGAAGGACUUAGAGUGCGGUAGGGGUAGAGGGAAUUCCCGGUGUAGCGGUGAAAUGCGUAGAGAUCGGGAAGAACACCAGUGGCGUAAGCGCUCUACUGGACCGCAACUGACACUGAGGGACGAAAGCUAGGGGAGCGAAUGGGAUUAGAUACCCCAGUAGUC